RNAcentral lists this ribosomal RNA (332 nucleotides) under uncultured Methylobacterium sp. Its description in RNAcentral is "bacterial SSU rRNA". It matches the Rfam family "Bacterial small subunit ribosomal RNA", at positions 1 to 359 of the family's 1533-position model. Lineage: Bacteria; Pseudomonadati; Pseudomonadota; Alphaproteobacteria; Hyphomicrobiales; Methylobacteriaceae. The record is from RNAcentral.
UUCGCCCUUAGAGUUUGAUCCUGGCUCAGAGCGAACGCUGGCGGCAGGCUUAACACAUGCAAGUCGAGCGGGCCCUUCGGGGUCAGCGGCAGACGGGUGAGUAACGCGUGGGAACGUGCCCUUCGGUUCGGAAUAACCCUGGGAAACUAGGGCUAAUACCGGAUACGCCCCUUGGGGGAAAGGUUUACUGCCGAAGGAUCGGCCCGCGUCUGAUUAGCUAGUUGGUGAGGUAACGGCUCACCAAGGCGACGAUCAGUAGCUGGUCUGAGAGGAUGAUCAGCCACACUGGGACUGAGACACGGCCUAGACUCCUACGGGAGGCAGCAGAAGGG